AGCGCUGUUCACCGGAGCUCGCAGCUCCCUUGCCUCACUUGUGGUCCUCCCUGCUCCUAGUAGCAGAGAUUAAAGAAGAUAAAGGAUAUUACAAGCCUCCCCCGGCUAUCAUGGUUGGUAAGCAGGAAUUCAGGUAUGGAAGAACAGUUGUGGAUCACUGAUAGACUGCAUUAUGGAAUUAUGUAUGAUUCUAUGAGGUUUUAGGAUAUUUUGUAUGAUGGAUAAACAAGUAUUAUUAUACGAUGAGUAUUUGUAUAGUGAAUUUCCAAUUUCAGGCUAUUACUUUAUUUGUGGGCCAUAACCCACAGGAUUAAGUUAUGCUUCCGCUGACGAUUAAGGUCAUGUAAAUUUGUCGGGGCGUUACAGAGUGGUAUCAGAGCCGAAACCUAGCCGGAAGUGCGGAGUAUUAGACUUUGCACCGCCUAGGAGUGGUCCUUUGGGAAAUUAGAUAUUAAGGAAAACUCGAGGUUAGUAAAUGACCAUUUGGGUUGAUAUAAGAUGAGAUAUAAGACAAUGGAUGAAAAAUUUGAGGUUUACUUCCAUGAAUGAGUUAUUAGGAGUUGAGGAUUAUUUGGGUUAUUAGAAUCUUAAAGAAGUGAGGAUUUGAACUUAAUUAUGAUCCUUUGAAGUAUUAUUGGAAAAUUAGAAUAACGUAAAGCUUUGGGGUUACUAGAGUGUAAGAUCUUAAAUGGAAAAUUUUACGAUUUAAACUUGGCAUGAAUUUUCUGCAAAGAUUGAUGUUGGAUAACUUGAGGAUAAAAUGAUGGUUAUAUGAGUUAUAGGGACUAAGGUGAACGAUCUCUUGAGGUAUGAGUAGUAAUAUUUGAUGCUCGAGGUAAUACACGAAAUGAUAUUUAGAUAUGUUAUGAUGAGUAGGGUUAUUUGUGGGAUGAUAAAAAAAAAAAAAAGGUUAAGCGAUAUGAAAUCCUGAUGGUUAUAAGUUAAGAUUGAAUUUUUACUUUAUAGGAGCUCAUAUGACGAUUUUGGAGAUUCAAAAAUUUUGAAGGGAUUUAGAAAUUCUACUUGAGGAAUUAGAAAACAAUUACCAUUACUUUAGUUAUUAAGGAUUUUAGUUUUAAUGGUUGAAGCACUUCAUAAUGUGAUGCGAACCACUUAUUGGGAUGUUAUGGGAUUGUAGUGAAAAAUAAAUUAUGACUAAGUAUUGAAGAGUUAGACGAAUCGAUGUCUUGAAGGAAUAGGAAUUUGUUACUUGGAGAUAUAAUAGCCAUAUGGAAUAAGCGUUGAUGACGAGACAAAAAUCAAUGUGCAAAAGUGCUUGACUUUUCUGUUUAAUCAAGAUUUGGGACAAAGAAUUUCUAAGUUUGAAAUGUUGUUAGAUAAAUGGUUUCUUCGUGUAUGGUAUUGAGAUGAUCUAGGAAUGAAUUCAAGUGAUCGAAUUACCAAUAAAAGAGGAUAAUGGAAAAAUGUGGAGGAAAUUGAAAUUGUGAUGAGAAGUAAAUAUUAUUUGGAUCGGUGAAGCCUUGAAUAAUUAAGAUCUUGAGUAUUGAUGUUAGCUAGGUAAGGAAGUUGGUAAGGAGUACAUUAUGACAUUGUCAGAUUAGUAAGUGCUUAACGUUGAGGCUAUA
Molecule: long non-coding RNA, 1586 nt
Organism: Beta vulgaris subsp. vulgaris (sugar beet)
Lineage: Eukaryota; Viridiplantae; Streptophyta; Magnoliopsida; Caryophyllales; Amaranthaceae
Exons: 3
Source: RefSeq, a predicted model, not a curated record